GAUGAAGAACGCAGCGAAAUGCGAUAAGUAAUGUGAAUUGCAGAAUUCAGUGAAUCAUCGAAUCUUUGAACGCACAUUGCGCCCGCCAGUAUUCUGGCGGGCAUGCCUGUUCGAGCGUCAUUACAACCCUCAGGCCCCCGGGCCUGGCGUUGGGGAUCGGCGGAGCCCCCCGUGGGCACACGCCGUCCCCCAAAUGCAGUGGCGGUCCCGCCGCAGCUUCUAUCGCGUAGUAGCUAACACCUCGCGACUGGAGAGCGGCGCGGCCACGCCGUAAAACACCCAACUCUUCUGAAGUUGACCUCGAAUCAGGUAGGAAUACCCGCUGAACUUAAGCAUAUCAAUAAGCGGAGGA
This 352-nucleotide unclassified non-coding RNA is filed under the name soil metagenome. RNAcentral describes it as "partial contains 5.8S ribosomal RNA, internal transcribed spacer 2, and large subunit ribosomal RNA". The stretch from base 1 to 120 matches the Rfam family "5.8S ribosomal RNA", at positions 35 to 154 of the family's 154-position model. The record is from RNAcentral.